Molecule: long non-coding RNA, 349 nt
Filed under: Olea europaea subsp. europaea
Lineage: Eukaryota; Viridiplantae; Streptophyta; Magnoliopsida; Lamiales; Oleaceae
Source: RNAcentral
GAUCGAAGAGGCGAAUGGUCCUAUUCCAAAACCCGUUAAAAGGCUUAUUCGGGAAUUUGAGGACAUCAUGCCGGAAGAAUUACCAAAGAAAUUACCACCAAGAAGGACGAUUGAUCAUGAGAUCGAACUUAUUCCAGGCGCUAAAGCUCCCGCCAGGGCACCAUACCGUAUGUCUCAGCCUGAGCUUGAAGAGCUUAGGAAGCAGUUGGGGGAAAUGUUGGAGAGUGGAAUCAUUGUGCCUGCAAAGUCGCCAUACGGAGCUCCUGUAUUGUUUCAGAAAAAGACUGAUGGUUCUCUUAGAAUGUGCUGUGACUAUCGAGCCCUGAACAAGAUUACUGUAAAGAAUAGC